CUUCAUAAGCUAAUUGAGGGCAUAUAAAAUGCACAUGGCAAUCUAUAGCUCCUGCAGUAACAAUCAUUCCUUCUCCAGCGAUAACCUCAGUAUUUACCUGAAAAGAACAGAACCCGAUUAAUACAUAAACCAGUAAGACCAAACUGACAUAUUCUGAAGUCGAGAACUUACUCCUAUAAUCAUGUCGGGUGACACGUCAUUCAUGAUAUCUGGGUUACCUGCUUUCCCAAUAGAAGUAAUAUAACCAUCUUUGAUGCCUAUAUCCGCCUUAUAUAUUCCUGUGUAAUCAAUUAUUACGGCAUUUGUUAUUACAGUUUCCAAACAAUCACUUAAUUGAUAUCCAGAGGCCUGCCCCAUUCCGUCUCUCAG
This 369-nucleotide small RNA is filed under the name Erythranthe guttata (spotted monkey flower). RNAcentral's name for it is "Mimulus guttatus (spotted monkey flower) 5' ureB small RNA". It matches the Rfam family "5' ureB small RNA". The record is from Rfam by way of RNAcentral. Lineage: Eukaryota; Viridiplantae; Streptophyta; Magnoliopsida; Lamiales; Phrymaceae.